Molecule: non-coding RNA, 53 nt
Submitted as: unclassified sequences
Source: Rfam
CCCUGACAGCCGCAUGGUGCGUCUGACAUAACCCACGACAGGAGAUACAUAUG